This 700-nucleotide ribosomal RNA is filed under the name Microbacterium testaceum. RNAcentral describes it as "bacterial SSU rRNA". It matches the Rfam family "Bacterial small subunit ribosomal RNA", at positions 275 to 985 of the family's 1533-position model. The record is from RNAcentral. Lineage: Bacteria; Bacillati; Actinomycetota; Actinomycetes; Micrococcales; Microbacteriaceae.
GUCGACGGGUAGCCGGCCUGAGAGGGUGACCGGCCACACUGGGACUGAGACACGGCCCAGACUCCUACGGGAGGCAGCAGUGGGGAAUAUUGCACAAUGGGCGGAAGCCUGAUGCAGCAACGCCGCGUGAGGGAUGACGGCCUUCGGGUUGUAAACCUCUUUUAGCAGGGAAGAAGCGAAAGUGACGGUACCUGCAGAAAAAGCGCCGGCUAACUACGUGCCAGCAGCCGCGGUAAUACGUAGGGCGCAAGCGUUAUCCGGAAUUAUUGGGCGUAAAGAGCUCGUAGGCGGUUUGUCGCGUCUGCUGUGAAAUCCCGAGGCUCAACCUCGGGCCUGCAGUGGGUACGGGCAGACUAGAGUGCGGUAGGGGAGAUUGGAAUUCCUGGUGUAGCGGUGGAAUGCGCAGAUAUCAGGAGGAACACCGAUGGCGAAGGCAGAUCUCUGGGCCGUAACUGACGCUGAGGAGCGAAAGGGUGGGGAGCAAACAGGCUUAGAUACCCUGGUAGUCCACCCCGUAAACGUUGGGAACUAGUUGUGGGGACCAUUCCACGGUUUCCGUGACGCAGCUAACGCAUUAAGUUCCCCGCCUGGGGAGUACGGCCGCAAGGCUAAAACUCAAAGGAAUUGACGGGGACCCGCACAAGCGGCGGAGCAUGCGGAUUAAUUCGAUGCAACGCGAAGAACCUUACCAAGGCUUGAC